Molecule: ribosomal RNA, 63 nt
Filed under: Amphiodon effusus
Lineage: Eukaryota; Viridiplantae; Streptophyta; Magnoliopsida; Fabales; Fabaceae
Description: partial 26S ribosomal RNA
Source: RNAcentral
ACGAGCGGCAAUUGGUCGCCUACAACGGGACCCUCAGGUCAGGCGGGGCUACCCGCUGAGUUU